Molecule: RNA transcript, 1298 nt
Organism: Neogale vison (American mink)
Lineage: Eukaryota; Metazoa; Chordata; Mammalia; Carnivora; Mustelidae
Gene: MRLN
Gene name: myoregulin
Exons: 8
Source: RefSeq, a predicted model, not a curated record
CACCCGAGGGCCUGCGGUCAGCUGGUCAGUCCGGUGAGCCUCACAGGGAAGGUUGGCCCAAACUGGAGAUAGUUAGGAUUAAAGCGCUCCUGGGUUCCCUUCGCCGUGGUACUCCUAUGCCCCUUGCUCUCUUUAAAUUCAGUACCCGGUGCGCUUUCCACAAGCUGGGCUGAGGAUGUCCCCGGGGGUCUAGAAUCCUGGAGAUCUGUCAGACAGGUAUGAGCUGGUGGGUCAAAGUUCAGGGGACCGUGGAGCCAGAAGCCUGAGUAGAGUUCGGUCAAGACACGUUAGCAGGAGGAAGUCAAGGUAAACAAGGCAAAAUGGAUACAUGUGAAAAGAUAUUCAGCUAUCCAUGGAAAAGGAUCGCUCUGAAGAUCAAAGGGUAGUAUGACAUUAAAUGAGUCAUGGUGUUCUCCAAGAGAGUAAAACGGUAUUCUUGUAAGUUAUGGUUUGAUUCUUAGAACAUCUGACAGAAGGGUCUAUUGAUUACUGGGGCGGGGGAGCGGUUCCCCUCCUCACCGGCUGUUUGAGCUCCUGUGUGGGGCCAAGCAUAUUUUUGUUGUAAUUUAUCCCACCUGUGCCUGUCAGUUCCUUUCCACUUGCCUCCUCCCGUGACAGCCUGGCUCAUGUUUCUUCAUGAAGCUCUAAGCCAGUUAUUAAUAACGGCCCAGCGCGUCUCCUGAUCCACCUAAGAGCAUAUGGUGUUUUUCACAAAAGAGAAGAGACAUCAUUCUCCUUGGCUUUGGACUUCACUUACCGAGCCCCUGAGCAGUAUUCGGUGCUCUUGAACGUGGACAUCAGGCUUUGCUAAGUGACAUGUGUGAGGGAGGCAUUGCAGCGAACUGGAAGGAGGCAUUGCAGCUGGCCUGGUGUGGAGCCCUGGCCUGGAGUGCUAACCAACUGUGGGAGUUCAAGCAAGUCCUAAGCUCUCUGAGCGGAGUGGGGUUUUCUCAUAAUGUAUCUUCACUGCAACAACCACUGUUUGCUGGAGCACCAGGCAGCAUGCUGGGCUCCUGGCUUCCCUUCUUCCUGAUCCUGAGAUACAGCGGCAGCGGCAAAGACUGUGGGGUCAGACAGAUCUUCAUUCAGAUCCCUGAUUAUCUCUGCGGAAGUCUACUUUGUCAAGUUGUGACCUGCCAAAAGUGUUCCAGUCUUCGCUUGCAACUUCCUUGGUUUUGGACUCGCUGGUCUGACCCUGGCUGGAAUCGGAGAAGUUGGGAGGUGUUUAAAGAGAGCCCAAGAAGAAUGACUCAUUCAAGGAUACCCUCUAGGAGGGACCAAGGUUGCUAAGAGACCAC